AUGCUCGCUUUGGCAGCACAUGUACUAAAAUUGGAACAAUACUGAGAAGAUUACCAUGGCCCCUGUGCAACGAUGACAUGAAAAUUAGUGAAGCACUCCAUAUUUUU
Molecule: small nuclear RNA, 107 nt
Organism: Hyaena hyaena (striped hyena)
Lineage: Eukaryota; Metazoa; Chordata; Mammalia; Carnivora; Hyaenidae
Source: RefSeq, a predicted model, not a curated record